GAUGAACGCUGGCGGCGUGCUUAACACAUGCCAGUCGAACGGUGAAAGAGAGCUUGCUCUCUGGAUCAGUGGCGAACGGGUGAGUAACACGUGAGCAAUCUGCCCCUGACUCUGGGAUAAGCGCUGGAAACGGCGUCUAAUACCGGAUACGAGCUGCGAAGGCAUCUUCAGCAGCUGGAAAGAACUUCGGUCAGGGAUGAGCUCGCGGCCUAUCAGCUAGUUGGUGAGGUAACGGCUCGCCAAGGCGUCGACGGGUAGCCGGCCUGAGAGGGUGACCGGCCACACUGGGACUGAGACACGGCCCAGACUCCUACGGGAGGCAGCAGUGGGGAAUAUUGCACAAUGGGCGAAAGCCUGAUGCAGCAACGCCGCGUGAGGGACGACGGCCUUCGGGUUGUAAACCUCUUUUAGCAGGGAAGAAGCGAAAGUGACGGUACCUGCAGAAAAAGCACCGGCUAACUACGUG
This 466-nucleotide ribosomal RNA is filed under the name uncultured bacterium. RNAcentral's name for it is "partial 16S ribosomal RNA". It matches the Rfam family "Bacterial small subunit ribosomal RNA", at positions 28 to 507 of the family's 1533-position model. The record is from RNAcentral.